Molecule: ribosomal RNA, 3082 nt
Filed under: Lipingzhangella rawalii
Lineage: Bacteria; Bacillati; Actinomycetota; Actinomycetes; Streptosporangiales; Nocardiopsidaceae
Description: 23S ribosomal RNA
Rfam family: Bacterial large subunit ribosomal RNA
Source: RNAcentral
UGGUCAAGUGAGUGUGGCAUACGGUGGAUGCCUUGGCACCAGGCGCCGAUGAAGGACGUGGGAGGCCGCGAUAGUCCACGGGGAGUUGUCAACCGAGCGGUGAUCCGUGGGUGUCCGAAUGGGGAAACCUAACCUCCGUCAUGGGGGGUUGCUGCCGUCUGAAUGUAUAGGGCGGUUGGUGGUGACGCGGGGAAGUGAAACAUCUCAGUACCCGUAGGAAAAGAAAACAAUAGUGAUUCCCUGAGUAGUGGUGAGCGAACGGGGAUGAGGGCUAAACCAUGCGCGUGUGAGACUCGGCAGGGGUUGCGUGUGUGGGGUUGUGGGAUGUGCCUGUCCAGUUCUGCCGGGCUGGAGUGUGGGCUGCUGUUGCUAGUCGAAGCUGGUGGGAUCCAGCGCCGGAGAGGGUGAGAGUCCCGUAGGUGAAGGUGGCGGUAGUUGCAUUGGGCAUGGUCCCGAGUAGCGCGGAGCUCGUGAAAUUCCGUGUGAAUCUGGCAGGACCACCUGUCAAGCCUGAAUACGUCCUGGUGACCGAUAGUGGACGAGUACCGUGAGGGAAAGGUGAAAAGCGCCCCGGUGAGGGGUUGUGAAAUAGUUCCUGAAACCGUGUGCUGUCAAGCCGUCAGAGCCUUCGGGUGAUGGCGUGCCUUUUGAAGAAUGAGCCUGCGAGUUGUGCUGCGUGGCGAGGUUAACCCGGGUGGGGGAGCCGGAGCGAAAGCGAGUCCUAAUGGGGCGGUGGAGUCGCGUGGUGCAGACCCGAAACGGAGUGAUCUACCCAUGUCCAGGGUGAAGCGGCUGUAAGAGGUCGUGGAGGCCCGCACCCACCAGGGUUAAAAACCUGGGGGAUGAGGUGUGGGUAGGGGUGAAAGGCCAAUCAAACUCUGUGAUAGCUGGUUCUCCCCGAAAUGCAUUUAGGUGCAGCGUCGUGUGGUUCUUGGUGGAGGUAGAGCUACUGGUUGGUCGAUGGGCCCGCGAGGGUUACUGAGAUCAGCUAAACUCCGAAUGCCAUCAAGUGGAGCGCGGCAGUGAGACGGCGGGGGAGAAGCUUCGUCGUCGAGAGGGAAACAGCCCAGAUCAUCAGCUAAGGCCCCUAAGCGUGCGCUAAGUGGGAAAGGUUGUGGAGUUGCGGUGACAACCAGGAGGUUGGCUUAGAAGCAGCCAUCCUUGAAAGAGUGCGUAAUAGCUCACUGGUCAAGUGGUUCUGCGCCGAUAAUGUAGCGGGGCUGAAGCGUACCGCCGAAGCUGUGGAGCCCCCUCUGUGGGGGUUGGUAGGGGAGCGUCGUGCGCGCGGGGAAGCGGCCGGGUGACCGUGUCGUGGAGCGUGUGCGAGUGAGAAUGCAGGCAUGAGUAGCGAUUCCAGUGUGAGAAACACUGGCGCCGAUUGACUAAGGGUUCCUGGGGCAGGUUAAUCCGCCCAGGGUGAGUCGGGGCCUAAGGCGAGGCCGUCAGGCGUAGUCGAUGGAUAACGGGUUGAUAUUCCCGUACCCGUCCGGUCGCGUCCAAUACCGGGGCCCGUGAUGCUAACCACCUCGCCACGCUGUUGUGGUUUCGACCAUGAUGGUGGUGGUGGGCUGGGAUCCGAGCGGGUAGUAGGUAAGUGAUGGGGUGACGCAGGAGGGUAGCCCAUCCCAGGCGGUGGUUGUCCUGGGGUAAGCGUGUAGCCCGGAGCAUAGGCAAAUCCGUGCUUCGUGUGGGUGAGGCGUGAUGCCGAGGCGUGGAGCCGAAGUGGGUGAUCCCAUGCUGUCGAGAAAAGCCUCUAGCGAGUGGCUGGGCGGCCCGUACCCGAAACCGACGCAGGUGGUCAGGUCGAGUAGACCGAGGCGUUCGGGUGAACCAUGGUUAAGGAACUCGGCAAAUUGUCCCCGUAACUUUGGGAGAAGGGGAGCCCGGUUUGGUGAUCAUCCGGAGCGGUGUGAGCUGAGCUGGGCCGCAGAGACCAGGGGGAAGCGACUGUUUAUUAAAAACACAGGUCCGUGCGAAGUCGUAAGACGCGGUAUACGGACUGACGCCUGCCCGGUGCCGGAACGUUACGAGGACCGGUUAGCCCGUUUUCGGGUGAAGCUGGGAAUCUAAGCGCCGGUAAACGGCGGUGGUAACUAUAACCAUCCUAAGGUAGCGAAAUUCCUUGUCGGGUAAGUUCCGACCUGCACGAAUGGCGUAACGACUUCCCCGCUGUCUCAACCAUGGGCCCGGUGAAAUUGCACUACGAGUAAAGAUGCUCGUUUCGCGCAGCAGGACGGAAAGACCCCGGGACCUUCACUACAGCUUGAUAUUGGUGUCUGGGUGGGUUUGUGUAGGAUAGGUGGGAGCCUGUGAAGCCACGACGCCAGUCGGGGUGGAGGCACUGGUGAAAUACCACUCUGGUCCUCUUGGGCAUCUAACCCACACCCGUGGAUCCGGGUGGGGGACAGUGUCUGGUGGGUAGUUUAACUGGGGCGGUUGCCUCCCAAAGAGUAACGGAGGCGCCCAAUGGUUCCCUCAGCCUGGUCGGCAACCAGGUGGCGAGUGUAAGUGUACAAGGGAGCUUGACUGCGAGACUGACGGGUCGAGCAGGUGCGAAAGCAGGGACUAGUGAUCCGGCACCACCGUGUGGAAGGGGUGUCGCUCAACGGCUAAAAGGUACCCCGGGGAUAACAGGCUAAUCUUCCCCAAGAGUCCGUAUCGACGGGAUGGUUUGGCACCUCGAUGUCGGCUCGUCGCAUCCUGGGGCUGGAGUUGGUCCCAAGGGUUGGGCUGUUCGCCCAUUAAAGCGGCACGCGAGCUGGGUUUAGAACGUCGUGAGACAGUUCGGUCCCUAUCCGCUGCGCGCGUUGCAGACUUGCGAAGGGCUGUCCCUAGUACGAGAGGACCGGGACGGACCAACCUCUGGUGUGCCAGUUGUCCUGCCAAGGGCAUGGCUGGUUGGCUAUGUUGGGGAUGGAUAACCGCUGAAAGCAUCUAAGUGGGAAGCCAGCUUCUAGAUGAGGUCUGCCACCACCAUCGAGUGGGUAAGGCCCCCCGCAGACCACGGGGUUGAUAGGCCAGAUGUGGAAGCCCGGUGACGGGUGCAGCUGACUGGUACUAAUCGGCCGAGGGCUUGCCCACC